AAAUGAAUUGACGGGGGUCCGCACAAUCGGUGGAACAUGUGGUUUAAUUCGAUGAUACGCGAAGAACCUUACCUGGGCUUGACAUUGCCUAGUAGGAGCCCGAAAGGGUGACGACCUAUCUUCGGAUAGGAGGGUAAACAGGUGGUGCAUGGCUGUCGUCAGCUCGUGCCGUGAGGUGUUGGGUUAAGUCCCGAAACGAGCGCAACCCUUGCUCUUAGUUACUCGUCUGAAAAGACAGCACUUUAAGAGGACUGCCGUGGUUAACACGGAGGAAGGUGGGGACGACGUCAAGUCAGCACGCCCCUUAUGUCCAGGGCUACACACGUGUUACAAUGGUUGGUACAGAGAGAAGCAAAGUCGCGAGGCGGAGCAAAUCUCAAAAAACCAGUCUCAGUUCGGAUUGCAGGCUGCAACUUGCCUGCAUGAAGUUGGAAUCGAUAGUAAUCGCGGAUCAGCUAGGCCGCGGUGAAUACGUUCUCGGACCUUGUACACACCGCCCGU
RNAcentral lists this ribosomal RNA (501 nucleotides) under uncultured bacterium. RNAcentral's name for it is "bacterial SSU rRNA". It matches the Rfam family "Bacterial small subunit ribosomal RNA", at positions 903 to 1397 of the family's 1533-position model. The record is from RNAcentral.